RNAcentral lists this ribosomal RNA (627 nucleotides) under Triticum aestivum (bread wheat). RNAcentral describes it as "partial small subunit ribosomal RNA". Lineage: Eukaryota; Viridiplantae; Streptophyta; Magnoliopsida; Poales; Poaceae. The record is from RNAcentral.
AUGGUCAAGGUUACUAUUACACGCAUGGGCUCUGACAACCGUUGGUGGUUUCUAUCAUGCCGGGAAUGCCAUAAAACAGCCUAUAUGGCUGGAAGGCAGUACCGUUGCUCGGACCACGGCUGCUCUUCUGUUGUAGCAGAUCCCUCAUAUUGUCUGUGCACUUUCGGAAGCGACGGCGCAGCUGAGGCAGAAUUUAUGUUCUUUGAUAGAGCUGAAAAGAGUGUUGUUGGGAAGCCACUCGUGACUUUGAUUUACCACAAGUAUCCUGGUUUCACAAGUGCGCUUGAUCUGCCUUAUAUAGGAGGUGCUGAUGUAGGCUUGCCUGUUGAAAUUUCACGCCUUGUUACCAAGAAGUAUAGGCUUGUCGUUUCUAUCUCCACCAAGAGCUUUCAGCCUGCAAGCACCCAGUUGUCCUUCCAAGUUGGCAGGAUUGAUGAAACCCUUAAGCCUGAACUGGCAUCCUUUGGAUUUGGCGGUGCGUCAUCUUCUACUGGGAGCUCAGGCAGAGUGGUUCCCAUUCCAACGUCUUUCGCUACAGGAUCAUCUACACUUGUCGAGCUACCUCCCGAUGAGAUGAACACUCCCAUAUCUGCAUUCAGAGGAAAAAGGACAGGCUGCUAUGCCUGA